UCUAUAGAAAUUGACGUAUGAUCUUGGGUACAGUUGUAUUGGUUAACGACGUAGAUCGAGAUUUAAUAACACAAUACAAACUAUAAUACAUUUUAUUUAAGGCUUAUUGUAAAACAACUAGAAGCUGACAAAUAUUCCGGUUAAUUCUUCAGUAAAUUAUCUGGUAACACUAGCGGGUUUUUUUCCCGCGGAAACUGAUAACGUGACUCUAAAUGUUGCCGCGAAAGAUGCUUCUGGGACGCCAUAUUGGUUUUUUGGUUCGUGCCGAAGGUUGAUGUCUAAUUCCCUAAUGGCCCAAUUUAAUUUAAAGGGAAAUAAAGGGAGGCGGUCCAUAAUGGACUUAGAAAUUUACAAAGUUGUCCGAGAUAGUGUAAUGAUCAGUCAGCCGAGCUGCAAUGAAGCCGAGAUAAUAACAGCAGUUUCGGCUCAUCUAAAAUAAGAGCCGGACAGACGAGGGACCAAUUAAGUACAUGUACAGUUUAAAUUUGUUUAUUACAUGUCAUAUUUUAUUAUAAUGUUUA
Long non-coding RNA from Patella vulgata (common limpet), 521 nucleotides. RefSeq lists it as uncharacterized. NCBI's taxonomy places the organism in Eukaryota, Metazoa, Mollusca, Gastropoda, Patellidae. The record is from RefSeq and is a predicted model, not a curated record. The transcript has 3 exons.